Molecule: ribosomal RNA, 347 nt
Filed under: uncultured bacterium
Lineage: Bacteria
Description: partial 16S ribosomal RNA
Rfam family: Bacterial small subunit ribosomal RNA
Source: RNAcentral
CCUACGGGUGGCAGCAGGGAGGAAUAUUGGUCAAUGGACGAGAGUCUGAACCAGCCAAGAAGCGUGAAGGAUGAAGGACCGAAGGGUUGUAAACUGCGUUUAUAAGGGAAUAAAACAGGGUACGCAUACCCUCUUGUAUGUACCAUAUGAAUAAGGAUCGGCUAACUCCGUGCCAGCAGCCGCGGUAAUACGGAGGAUCCGAGCGUUAUCCGGAUUUAUUGGGUUUAAAGGGUGCGUAGGGGGAUUGUUAAGUCAGUUGUGAAGGUUUGCGGCUCAACCGUAAAAUUGCAGUUGAAACUUGCAGUCUUGAGUACAGUAGAGGUGUGCGGAAUUCGUGGUGUAGCGGU